ACAUACGUGGUCACUUGAAUAGAUAUUAAGGAAGAUAUAGCAGAGAAGGAGCUGGCAUCUUCAUGCCCUUCCAACUGGAGGUUAGUUCUUUACAAUUUUAUCCCUCAAUUGAGAUUCAAGUUCUCAAUCAUUGUAGCGUACUUGCUGGCUUCUAGCUACAAUUUCAUGGUGGUAGAUACUGAAUGUAGAUUUUAAAUUGUACAGACUGAUUUAGAGUAGUUGACCUCUCGUGUUCUGAAGCCUUUUGAUGUAUGCUUCCAUUUUGAAAGAAUUGAAGCAAUUGUUCCAUGGAGUGAAAUAACACUUUCAUCCUCAAACAACAGGUGUCUCAUUAAGUUUCUUAUUCACCAAUUGAAACAUGUGUGAGUAAUAGCACAACUAAAGUUGCUGAACACAUUAUUAUAAAAUGAUAGGCUGGAUUAUCGUUUGUAUGCAUUCUACAAGGAUUAUUUCUUGUGGAAUUAAAAUUAGUUAUCUAUUUUUUAAGGAUACUAUUUGUGAAAUUUUAUCUGGCCAACUCUUUUUGUUAGGAAAUGGAAGCGAGACUGUUGUAUUUUCCCCUUGUAAACCAGCGAUAUGGGAGGACACCAUUAUUACAAAUUUGAAGUCUGACUGUGUGUUAUUGGCAAGAUACCUACGUGGAUGAUAUCGACAGCUCGAUGGCCACAAUGAACCAGAUGUUGUCGACUACAUGGAGGACAUCUAUAAGUACUACAAGGCAGCACUGGUAACUACAAUCUUCCUCUUCAGCAUGUCUGUUGAAGCGACACACAACUGUACUUUCAGUCUAAGAUGAAAUACGAGCACAUAGCCAACAUCACUUAAUUACUAUGCAAUGGAACUUAUGCUGACACAAGACAAUAUUUCUGUGAUACCUCACUAAUCUAAACUAAAGACUAACUAAUUCGGAAAUGAAGUAGACAUGUUUCAAGUCCUUUUCAAGUCAAAGUGUUUAGUUUAGGUUGAUGUACAGUGAACAAGAGUAGCAUUGAGUAGCACACUUUUGCUUUCUAAAACUAGGGAUACACAUGCUCAGAUUCUCAUGCAACCAUCCAGUACCAUUUAGAUGUUCUUGGCUCUUCCUGUAGACUUCAAUACUUCACAGUGGAUGUGUUUAGUUUCUUGGUUUCUUUUUCUCCUUUUCGCUGAAUCUACCAAAUUAUCCUAUGGCUAGAAUUGUUUUUAGAACUUAAUCUUCUAAUUUUUUCCACGUGUUGCAAUCUAUCCAAGGUUUUCUCAUGAAACCAUCUGAUUUGUUUCUUGCGCCUUCCAUUUUUGUGUUUUCCUUAACCAUCAGUUCAUUUGAUUCUGUAUGACUGAUCUCAAUUGCCUGGUAAACUUUUGAAUUUCUGGCGUUAUCAAGGCAAUGUCAUUUUUCUGUAUAAUGACUUUCUUUUACAAUUUAUUUUGUAAGCACAGAUUUCUUACCGAAAGAUAUUCUUCAUAUGCCCACUAACUGAAACGAACUUAGUCGCUUUUGACAUUUUUUAUUCCAUGAAGAAUACAUAGUGUAUUUCUUUCUUUCCUGCUGUCUCAGAGGAAGAAGAAAAUCUCUGAAUUACGUAUGUGUUUGAGCUAUGAGGGAUGUCUGUUAUGUCAUUUAUUCUCUUACAGGACAUCUUAGCAGCUUAGCUUCUUGAAGUUAUAUUUGUAAAAAGUUUCAUUUCGUGUAGGAUUUUCAAGAGUGAGUUGUUUUCUGUGGCUAGAAAAAGAAACAAUUGCAGUGAGAUACUUGUAUAAUUCAUUUGAUGGCUCUUCUUUUCCUCAGGCUAUUCUUUUCCUCAGGUUCUUAUUGAUCUCUUCUUUGCAUGAGCUUCUGAACAUACAUCUAAAGCUUCUAAGAAGCAAAUCCAUACUCUAGC
Molecule: long non-coding RNA, 1862 nt
Filed under: Triticum aestivum (bread wheat)
Lineage: Eukaryota; Viridiplantae; Streptophyta; Magnoliopsida; Poales; Poaceae
Description: long non-coding RNA (TAES_LNC020291)
Source: RNAcentral